AAGCGCUUGCAACCAGACUUGCGCGGGGUCGAUCAUCCGGUGUUCGCACCGGUGCACUCGGCCACGCGCAGGCCAGCAUCGGUUUGGGUGGUUGGAUAAAGGCCUUGGGAAUGUGGCUCUCUCCGGGGAGUGUUAUAGCCCAAGGUGCAAUGCGGCCUACCCGGACCGAGGACCGCGCUCCGGCUAGGAUGCUGGCGUAAUGGUUGUAAGCG
This 212-nucleotide ribosomal RNA is filed under the name Oidiodendron sp. RNAcentral's name for it is "partial large subunit ribosomal RNA". The record is from RNAcentral. Lineage: Eukaryota; Fungi; Ascomycota; Leotiomycetes; Myxotrichaceae.